This 610-nucleotide unclassified non-coding RNA is filed under the name Hevea brasiliensis (rubber tree). Lineage: Eukaryota; Viridiplantae; Streptophyta; Magnoliopsida; Malpighiales; Euphorbiaceae. The record is from RNAcentral.
CUGUUCUUGCAACUUAUUUGCUCUCUUCAUAAAUUCAACAUCUUGGGUUGUCUUUACCUCCAUAUUCUGCCGCACUUCAAAAUUUACCCAAUUAAAAGUUCCACAUUCUGGAUUCGUUUCUGGGUCUGAAUCUUUUCUCUUGCUCUGAUCCAGCUUGAUUUCAGGACAGUUUUUAGAAAAGAGUUUAUCUGUCUUGGUGAACUUUCCUUGCUCAUUCAUAGUGUUAGUAUGGGCACCUUUGACAUCUUGACACUUAUGAAUACUUUCUUCAAACGAUUUGACAUCUUGUGAAUGGACUUCUACAGGAGAUGACAUCAGAUGAGACUGCAGUGAUGGACGACGCAACCUUUGAUGAGCAGGAGAGCAGCUCUGACCUCUACUAGAGUCAACAGAUGAUCCUUCAGUUAAGAAUGAUGAAUUAGUACUUGAGAGCGAAUGCCUGCUACUUCUGUGUGAGAGCGAAUGCCUGCUACUUCUGUGUGGUAUCUGUUUUUGGCUACACUGCCACUUUUCUAAACGACCCCAAUCAAGGACCCCGACAUUUAAAACUUUCUCCUGCCGAUUUUCUCCUCUCUCCAGAUAACUUGGCAAAUUUGACAUAUACUUGACA